This 388-nucleotide ribosomal RNA is filed under the name uncultured bacterium. RNAcentral's name for it is "bacterial SSU rRNA". It matches the Rfam family "Bacterial small subunit ribosomal RNA", at positions 30 to 417 of the family's 1533-position model. The record is from RNAcentral.
AUUGAACGCUGGCGGCAUGCCUUACACAUGCAAGUCGAACGGCAGCGGGCCUUCGGGUGCCGGCGAGUGGCGAACGGGUGAGUAAUGCAUCGGAACGUGCCAUUGAGUGGGGGGAUAACGUAGCGAAAGUUACGCUAAUACCGCAUAUUCUGUGAGCAGGAAAGCAGGGGACCGCAAGGCCUUGCGCUCUUUGAGCGGCCGAUGUCAGAUUAGCUAGUUGGUGAGGUAAAAGGCUUACCAAGGCGACGAUCUGUAGCGGGUCUGAGAGGAUGAUCCGCCACACUGGAACUGAGACACGGUCCAGACUCCUACGGGAGGCAGCAGUGGGGGAAUUUUGGACAAUGGGCGCAAGCCUGAUCCAGCCAUGCCGCGUGAGUGAAGAAGGCCU